This 1075-nucleotide long non-coding RNA is filed under the name Homo sapiens (human). RNAcentral describes it as "HSALNT0214726". Lineage: Eukaryota; Metazoa; Chordata; Mammalia; Primates; Hominidae. The record is from RNAcentral.
AUGGCAUGCAGAUGCUGCCUUUGGGACCUGCCUCUCCUACCCCUCCACCGUUUCUCCUGCUGGGACAACCCUGACACUCCCGAUUCCCAUCCCCUUUAAAUCACACUUCCACCUCUGCUGUGGCUGGAACGUGUGGACCAAAGGCGUGUUCUGGCCUAAGGAUAAUAUAAAAAGAGCUGAAUAUUGAGUAUCCUGGGGAGUCCUUUCCAGUCUCAGAGGCCAGCCCUGAGAGCAAUUCGCUUUCAGCAGUCAAGCUGUCUUCAGGUGGUAGGAGGAAGAAGGAAGAAAAAGAGGCAAAAUCAGAAUCUACUCCUUGAGGGGAGAGGCUGAAUUCCUGGGGAAUAACCCUUGCACUAACAGCUCCUGACCAGAAACAGACCUGGAAUCCAUUGGCCAUCAAGCAUUUGGCCUUUCCCUGAGGACUGGAAAAUGCCCCACGCCUCAAAAUCCUGCUAGUUUCUACCUGAGAGCAGACCCUGGGUCCCCUCCAAAAUGACAACAGGGUCUCCAUUUUGGAGAUGGUGACAUGCCCACCUGCAACAGAUAUCUGGAGUGGGAGGGUCCCUUGAGGUCAGGACCCUAUCUCUGUUGCUCUGUUGUUCAGACUCAAGGUUCUACAUGCCCAUGGCUUCAAGAGUCAGAACCUCUGGCAAACUCCAAAGGACAGCCCUUAGGGAAAAGGCACAGUGUGUCCUGUGGCUGGUGGGACACAAGGCCAGAUCAGGCUGAAGAAGUCCUAACCCACCUUUCAAAGUGGUAACAGAUAAACCACCCAAGGCUUUCGGGAGGUCUUAUAUACAUGGAGAACGUGUUGAGUGCACCUGGGAUCUCCCUGCACAAAGCAGCUUUCUACAAAUCUGGCACAUACGAGGCAGCCCAAAAUAAGCUAUGUCGCUUGUCUCUAUGGUACCUGCACGAAUGUCAGCUUUGGAUAUUGAGAUAUCUGCCCGGCUACAUGAUGAAUGAUACCUUUUGUUCUAAAACAACAAAAGUGGUUGGGCGUGGCAGCUCACGCCUGUAAUCCAACAGUUUGGGAGGCUGAGGCGGGUGGAUCACUUGACGUUAGGAGUUCGAG